Molecule: long non-coding RNA, 1404 nt
Organism: Esox lucius (northern pike)
Lineage: Eukaryota; Metazoa; Chordata; Actinopteri; Esociformes; Esocidae
Source: Ensembl
GUACUGCGUCAAGUCUGAAUCGAAGUAGCUAGCUAGAAUUCUCAAAGCGUACUAGCUAGCUCUCCAUAUUUUUUUGUGUUUAAGUAAACAUUUUUGUACAUAGCUAGAUUAUUUUAUAUGUUAUAUUUGAAAUAAUCAGAAAAACAUUAUUUUCAAAGAAAGGUCAUCUACAACAUCAGUGGAUCGAAAUGUUCGCCUCAUCCAGCUAUGCUGUAGCUAGCGUUUAGUUAAAUCUAAUGAAGCAAAUAAAUGCUAUCGUUAAUACCAGCGAUUUAGCUUAUACCACUAGCUACUUAAUCGGUUAGCGAGCUAACGUUAGCUAACAAGUGACAAUUCAGAAACGUAAACAAACCAACUGCGAGAAGCUGGCGGUGGGAUGUGGAUGUAGCCUGACGUUUUUUGUGAAAUGGACCUUGGAGAACAUUUAUACUGCGAGUUGGACUGUAUCGUUUAACCAGGCGAUAAACAGAGCAACAUUCCAACGACAACGUUGCUACUGAAAAACAAUACCAACCCUGAAUCCCAGUCCUCAUCCAUUUGGUCGGCUAAAGCCAUCGUCUCAUCAAGGCCUGUUAGCGUUCGUCUACCGUUACUGGCUUAGCUAGCUAACUAGUUGCCAAGCCCAUCAAAAACACCCGUGCAGGAGGAUCCUGAAGCAGUUGUGCUCCGAAAACACCACACUUGUCCACCAAAAAAAGCACUUAUGGCAGUGAUGACCAUGGAGCUUUGAGUCUUCUUGGGAUGCCUCAUUCAGCUUUGUGCACCUGGAUUUGGGGAGCAGCUCCCACUCUUCCUUGUACAUCCUCUCCAGCGCGGUCAGAUCGAAUGGGGAGCAGCGGUGAACUGCGAUCUUCAGCUCCCCUGACAGCUGUUCAGCAGAGUUCAUGUGUAGACCUGAAGCAGCAGCUCCAAUUCUUCCUUGUAAAUCAUAUAAAGCCCUGUCAGAGUGGACAGGGCGUGUCGGUGGACUGCCGUCUUCCGCUCUCCCAUGGAUGUUCAGUGGGGUUCAAGUCUAGACGGAUGCCACUCUUGAGUGAAAAGCAUAUUACAUGCUAUCUAGUGUUUGCCAAGCAGCAAUGAGGAAAAGGAAACGACUAAGGGCUGUUAGGAUGGUCAUUGGGUCCCUGGUCACCUCCCUGACCAGGCCCCAUGCCCGGUUACUUAGUUUGCCAGGCGGUCACUCUAGGAAGAGCCUAGGUGGUUCCAAACUUGUUCCACUUCACAAUGACGGAGCCCAUUGUACCCCUGAGAACAUAAAGUGCCCCAGCAUUGUUUUUAUAACCAGCCACAUAUCUAUGCCUCUACACAAUUCAAUGCAAUUUCUGAGGUUUGUGGAGAGUUCCAUGGACUUCAUGGGUUUGUUUUUGUUCUGACAUGCGCUGUGAAGUGUGACACCUUAUUUAA